Cyanistes caeruleus (blue tit) is the source of this 534-nucleotide long non-coding RNA. Lineage: Eukaryota; Metazoa; Chordata; Aves; Passeriformes; Paridae. The record is from Ensembl.
CAUCACAAACAGGAUUAUGUCACGUUGGAAGCUGCCAGCCUGGAAGUCUGAGGCAGCAUCUCGGAGCCCUGGGAAGCAGGGGACAGCUGUCCCUGUCCCCAGCAGUGACCCAGGGCACCCCCAGGGCUGAGAGGUGCUGCCAGCCUGCAGGUGAUGGGUGCAAAAGAGAGGGAAGCAAGAGCAGGUGGAAUGCUGGAAGAGCACAGCUCCAAGCAUGAUUGCACUGCCAGAAUCAAUUGGGAAGGUGCUUGAGCUCCUCAUGUGAGAUGUCUCCAGGUGGAGAAAUCCUGAGGUUCUGCAUGGAAAGGGGAGCAAAUGCAGGAACCCCCGUGGAUCAGCCCAGGAAAAGAGAGGGAUCAGUGCAGGAAAUGCCUACAGGACAGGCUGGAUUUCAGGGAAAAACCCACAUGAGCACACAGGACAAGUUUCAGGAGGGAAGAAAAAAGAAAAAUUGCUGCUAAUACCAGUGCAUAAAUAAUAACCAUGAUCCAGAUUUCAAGAGUGUCAGAAUAAACCAGGCCCAUCAGCCCUACA